Molecule: non-coding RNA, 279 nt
Organism: Pelobates cultripes (western spadefoot toad)
Lineage: Eukaryota; Metazoa; Chordata; Amphibia; Anura; Pelobatidae
Source: the annotation of a GenBank genome assembly
ACCAGCUAAAUUUUGGGGUACAAGCUGUGGUGCAUCAACCAUCUGCUGAGGGGAGGUGACCCAAAGAGGGAUUCAUAAUCUCAUGAUUAAUCAAAAAAUCCUCAUCAUCAUUAUAAGGCGGAGGAUUUUUAACAUUUCUUUUUAAAUUGUACAGUGAGGGAUACAAACAGGCAACACCAGUACCCUCUCCUUUACAUGCCCCUCCUGUUGCACCUGACUGGGGGGAACAUUCUUGCUUUUUCUUUUCAAUUUCCUCAUGCCAUAACAUAUAUGCAGACC